RNAcentral lists this ribosomal RNA (703 nucleotides) under Ophiopogon japonicus. RNAcentral describes it as "eukaryotic LSU rRNA". The stretch from base 268 to 423 matches the Rfam family "5.8S ribosomal RNA". Lineage: Eukaryota; Viridiplantae; Streptophyta; Magnoliopsida; Asparagales; Asparagaceae. The record is from RNAcentral.
UCCGUAGGUGAACCUGCGGAAGGAUCAUUGUUGAGACCCGAACGGACGACCGCGAACCCGUAAAUGCUCCCGCAUGGGCAGAGGGAGGGCGGAUAUUCCGACUGCCCAACCCCAUACCUCGGGGCUCAAUGGCUGCCCCCGCCCCGCAUCGCUGUGGGACGGGCGGUUGGAAUAACACCUGGCACUGUGGGCGCCAAGGAACAAUGCUGUCGGAGAGCGCGCCGGUGUCGGCGCACAACGCGGUCUUUCCAUACGUCGAACUUUUACGACUCUCGGUAACAGAUAUUUUGGCUCUCGCAUUGAUGAUGAACGUAGCGAAAUGUGAUACUUUGUGUGAACUGCAGAAUCCCGUGAACCAUCAAGUCUUUGAACGCAAGUUGCACCCGAGGCUAUCCGGCCAAGGGCACGCCUGCCUGGGCGUCACGCCUCGCGUCGCUCCGCGUACCCUGUCCCCCGUCUUGGGGAGGCGGCGGGUACAGAUGCGGAGAUUAGCCCCCCAUGCCUAACGGCGCAGUGGGUUGAAGUGCAUGCUGCCGGCCGGGACGGACACGGCGAGUAGUGGAUGGACACGUACAACGCUCAACGUCGCCUCUGCCCCCGGCCUCGGAGGUGCAUGCAAGGAACCCACGCCGAGCACUCGUCGGAACACGACCCCAGGUCAGGCGGGGCCACCCGCUGAGCUUAAGCAUAUCAAUAAGCGGAG